RNAcentral lists this ribosomal RNA (1431 nucleotides) under Protoperidinium excentricum. Its description in RNAcentral is "LSU rRNA". It matches the Rfam family "Eukaryotic large subunit ribosomal RNA", at positions 23 to 1464 of the family's 3401-position model. Lineage: Eukaryota; Dinophyceae; Peridiniales; Protoperidiniaceae. The record is from RNAcentral.
ACCCGCUGAAUUUAAGCAUAUAAGUAGGUGGUGAAUGAGAAACUUACAGGGAUUCCCUAAGUAAUGGCGAAUGCAUGGGGACAGGCUCAGCGUGGAACUUGGGACUUCCCGUCCUGAAUUGUAGCCUUAAGAAGUGCAACUAGCAAAGGCGCAGCUGUAGGCUCUUGGGAAUGAGCGUCAAUGAGGGCGAACACCCUCCUUGUUCCCUGCAGCCCUUUGUGCACGGUUCACGAUCUAAGAGUCACACUCCUUGGGAAUGGUGUGCGAAGCGAGUGGCAACGUUCACUUAAAGCUCAACAUGCGCCUAAGACCGAUAGCGAACAAGUACCUUGAGGGAAAGGUGAAACAGGACUUUGAAAAGAUAGAUAAUACUCCCUGAGCAUGUUGAUAAGGAAGUGGAUAAGCUCAACGGUUCUUGGUGAGGUUGCUGUGCAGGGAUGUGCUGGCUCGCUGUCCAUUUGGAAAAAUGGCAACGCGCCCCGAUCGGAACAUGCUCAGUGCGCCUUGCCCUGGCGACCAGUGUGAGUUCGCGGCUGGAAGGUAUGUGUAGGAAGCUGGACAACUGUCUUUGGGCAUGCGUAUAUGUCAGCUUGUGCUUGUGUAUGUGCUCUCGGUGGGCCACUGGCUUGUCCACCCCGUCUUGAAACACGGAUCAAGGAGUCUAACAUGUGUGCGAGCUCAUUAGUGGCAAAGACUUGUGUGCAUUGUGAAAAUGUUUGUUGGGAUGGGUGCACCAACGACUGGCAUUUCGACUGAAAGGUCUGAGUGUGAGUAUGCAUGAUAGGACCCGAAAGAUGGUGAACUAUUCCUGUGAAAAGCAAAGUCAGGGGAAACUUUGAUGGAGGCUUGCAGCGGUAUUGACGUGCAAAUUGUUCGUUAUACAUGGGGAUAGGGGUGAAAGACUAAUCGAACCAUCUAGUAGCUGGUUCUCUCCAAAGUUUCCCUCAGGAUAGCUGGACUUGAACAGUUGUAUCAGGUAAAGCAAAUGAGUCGAGGAAUCGGGGGCUUGUUGCCCUCGACCUAUUAUCAAACUCUGAAUAGGCGAGACCUAAAUGUUAUCAGUGUAAACGUUUAGGGAAAGCGACAAGUUCAAGUGGGCCAUUUUUGGUAAGCAGAACUGGCGAUGAGGGAUGAACCUAACGUCGGAGUGAGGAGCCGAAGCUCUUGCUCAUGGGAUACCAUAAAGGGUGUUGGUUCAUUUUGACAGCAGGACGGUGGUCAUGGAAGUUGAAAGCCGCUGAGGAGUGUGUAACAACUCACCAGCCGAAUGAACCAGCCCUGAAAAUGGGUAGCGCUCAAGUAGGUGACCAAUAUCCGACCAUUGCCGCAACAUUGCUGUGUCAACGAGUAGGAGAGCGUGGUGUUUGUCAUGCAGCCUCAGGCGCAAGCCUGGGCGGAACAAAUGCUGGUGCAGAUCUUGGUGGUAGUAGC